AUACUGCUGAUGAGACCCAACUGGGUCGAAACUGCUGUCCAGUAC
RNAcentral lists this non-coding RNA (45 nucleotides) under Echinostoma caproni. The record is from RNAcentral. Lineage: Eukaryota; Metazoa; Platyhelminthes; Trematoda; Plagiorchiida; Echinostomatidae.